AACACCGUGGCAGAGUGGUAAUGUUCGCGACUUUGAUUCGUCAAGCUGUGGGUUCGAAACCCGCCACGGUCUAA
Halocaridina rubra (Hawaiian volcano shrimp) is the source of this 74-nucleotide non-coding RNA. NCBI's taxonomy places the organism in Eukaryota, Metazoa, Arthropoda, Malacostraca, Decapoda, Atyidae. The record is from the annotation of a GenBank genome assembly.